Molecule: ribosomal RNA, 254 nt
Filed under: uncultured bacterium
Lineage: Bacteria
Description: partial 16S ribosomal RNA
Rfam family: Bacterial small subunit ribosomal RNA
Source: RNAcentral
UACGGGGGGAGCAAGCGUUGUUCGGAUUUACUGGGCGUAAAGGGCGCGUAGGCGGCCACCGCAAGUCGGUUGGGAAAUCUCUGGGCUUAACCCAGAAAGGUCAACCGAUACUGCGGGGCUAGAGUGCAGAAGGGGCAACUGGAAUUCUCGGUGUAGCGGUGAAAUGCGUAGAUAUCGAGAGGAACACCUGCGGCGAAGGCGGGUUGCUGGGCUGACACUGACGCUGAAGCGCGAAAGCUAGGGGAGCGAACGGG